GUCUACGGUCAUGUCACCCUGAACAAGCCGGAUGUUUGAUCUCGUAAACUAAGCAGGGUCAGGCCUGGUUAGUACUUGGAUGGGAGACCAUCUAGGAAGAUCAGGUGCUGCAGGCA
This 116-nucleotide ribosomal RNA is filed under the name Pteropus alecto (black flying fox). The record is from RNAcentral. Lineage: Eukaryota; Metazoa; Chordata; Mammalia; Chiroptera; Pteropodidae.